Molecule: ribosomal RNA, 430 nt
Filed under: uncultured bacterium
Lineage: Bacteria
Description: partial 16S ribosomal RNA
Rfam family: Bacterial small subunit ribosomal RNA
Source: RNAcentral
GUGGGGAAUAUUGCACAAUGGGCGGAAGCCUGAUGCAGCAACGCCGCGUGCGGGAUGACGGCCUUCGGGUUGUAAACCGCUUUCAGCAGGGACGAAGCGUGAGUGACGGUACCUGCAGAAGAAGCACCGGCUAACUACGUGCCAGCAGCCGCGGUGAUACGUAGGGUGCGAGCGUUGUCCGGAUUUAUUGGGCGUAAAGAGCUUGUAGGCGGUUGGUUGCGUCGAAAGUGCAAACUCAGGGCUUAACUCUGAGCCUGCUUUCGAUACGGGCUGACUGGAGGAAGGUAGGGGAGAAUGGAAUUCCCGGUGGAGCGGUGGAAUGCGCAGAUAUCGGGAGGAACACCAGUGGCGAAGGCGGUUCUCUGGACCUUUCCUGACGCUGAGAAGCGAAAGCGUGGGGAGCAAACAGGCUUAGAUACCCGGGUAGUCC